Molecule: long non-coding RNA, 328 nt
Organism: Pogonomyrmex barbatus (red harvester ant)
Lineage: Eukaryota; Metazoa; Arthropoda; Insecta; Hymenoptera; Formicidae
Gene: Cdc37
Source: RefSeq, a predicted model, not a curated record
GUAUGUAUAUAUAUUUAUAUAUUUUAUUAUUGUUAAAUAGAAUCAUUAAUUCAAUUUAUGGACCUGUAAUAACUUUCAGAAUAAACGACAGAAGCAUCUUCAGAGCGAAGCACAUUUAAAGAAACCCGCCACUAAGCUCGAAUUUAAAAGGCGGCGCUUAUCGAGCUCUCGAUCGAGUCGCAACAGCGUACAUAUACCGGAAGCGCAGGCACCUCGUCCUCUUCCGGCGCGGCGUUGUCACAGACGUGUAGAAAGAGAGCAAGGAACCUACGCUCUAUGUAUAUUCAAUUAAUGUAGGUAUGCAAACAAAACUCUGCAUUGAUUGCAA